This 240-nucleotide ribosomal RNA is filed under the name uncultured bacterium. RNAcentral's name for it is "partial 16S ribosomal RNA". It matches the Rfam family "Bacterial small subunit ribosomal RNA", at positions 95 to 334 of the family's 1533-position model. The record is from RNAcentral.
CGGGCGGACGGGUGAGUAACGCGUGGGUAACCUACCCUGUACACACGGAUAACAUACCGAAAGGUAUGCUAAUACGGGAUAAUAUAUUUGAGAGGCAUCUCUUGAAUAUCAAAGGUGAGCCAGUACAGGAUGGACCCGCGUCUGAUUAGGCUAGUUGGUAAGGUAACGGCUUACCAAGGCGACGAUCAGUAGCCGACCUGAGAGGGUGAUCGGCCACAUUGGAACUGAGACACGGUCCAA